CUAGUAUUCGCCCCUCGCUGCACGACGCAGCGCUGAAGCGAAAGCGAAAGCGCAGGGGUCGAGGCGGUGGAGAAGCAGUAAUGAUGCGGGUUUCUGGUCGGCGAGGUGGUAGGAGCCGAUAGGAGUUCGAGGCGGUUGGCAGCGAGUUGACGGAUAAAAAAUCUUCGACAAGUUGUUGACGGCGGCGAAAAAGCCCUGCAUAAUUUCGUUUCUCUGCUGCAGACAACGCAGCGACGCGAUGAACAAAGUUGAUCGCGCAGUUCUUUAACAAACAAACAGCCGAUAAGUGUGGGCGCUUGAUGACGGAUGCGGCGGACGCGAGUUCGCUAGCUUACAAGUUAUGAAGUGCUCGCACAGAAGUAAGGUUUGAACGAGAGUUCAAGUCAGAUUCUGAGAGUGAGCGACCGCUCGUAAAGAGCGAAAACAGCAGAUUGAACUGAAGAGUUUGAUCCUGGCUCAGAUUGAACGCUGGCGGCAUGCCUUACACAUGCAAGUCGAACGGCAGCGGGGGUAGCUUGCUACCUGCCGGCGAGUGGCGAACGGGUGAGUAAUACAUCGGAACGUGCCCUGUAGUGGGGGAUAACUAGUCGAAAGACUAGCUAAUACCGCAUACGACCUGAGGGUGAAAGUGGGGGACCGCAAGGCCUCAUGCUAUAGGAGCGGCCGAUGUCUGAUUAGCUAGUUGGUGGGGUAAAGGCCCACCAAGGCGACGAUCAGUAGCUGGUCUGAGAGGACGAUCAGCCACACUGGGACUGAGACACGGCCCAGACUCCUACGGGAGGCAGCAGUGGGGAAUUUUGGACAAUGGGGGCAACCCUGAUCCAGCAAUGCCGCGUGUGUGAAGAAGGCCUUCGGGUUGUAAAGCACUUUUGUCCGGAAAGAAAUCGCACUGGUUAAUACCUGGUGUGGAUGACGGUACCGGAAGAAUAAGGACCGGCUAACUACGUGCCAGCAGCCGCGGUAAUACGUAGGGUCCAAGCGUUAAUCGGAAUUACUGGGCGUAAAGCGUGCGCAGGCGGUUGUGCAAGACCGAUGUGAAAUCCCCGGGCUUAACCUGGGAAUUGCAUUGGUGACUGCACGGCUAGAGUGUGUCAGAGGGAGGUAGAAUUCCACGUGUAGCAGUGAAAUGCGUAGAGAUGUGGAGGAAUACCGAUGGCGAAGGCAGCCUCCUGGGAUAACACUGACGCUCAUGCACGAAAGCGUGGGGAGCAAACAGGAUUAGAUACCCUGGUAGUCCACGCCCUAAACGAUGUCAACUAGUUGUUGGGGAUUCAUUUCCUUAGUAACGUAGCUAACGCGUGAAGUUGACCGCCUGGGGAGUACGGUCGCAAGAUUAAAACUCAAAGGAAUUGACGGGGACCCGCACAAGCGGUGGAUGAUGUGGAUUAAUUCGAUGCAACGCGAAAAACCUUACCUACCCUUGACAUGCCACUAACGAAGCAGAGAUGCAUUAGGUGCUCGAAAGAGAAAGUGGACACAGGUGCUGCAUGGCUGUCGUCAGCUCGUGUCGUGAGAUGUUGGGUUAAGUCCCGCAACGAGCGCAACCCUUGUCUCUAGUUGCUACGAAAGGGCACUCUAGAGAGACUGCCGGUGACAAACCGGAGGAAGGUGGGGAUGACGUCAAGUCCUCAUGGCCCUUAUGGGUAGGGCUUCACACGUCAUACAAUGGUGCAUACAGAGGGUUGCCAAGCCGCGAGGUGGAGCUAAUCCCAGAAAAUGCAUCGUAGUCCGGAUCGUAGUCUGCAACUCGACUACGUGAAGCUGGAAUCGCUAGUAAUCGCGGAUCAGCAUGCCGCGGUGAAUACGUUCCCGGGUCUUGUACACACCGCCCGUCACACCAUGGGAGUGGGCUUUACCAGAAGUAGUUAGCCUAACCGCAAGGAGGGCGAUUACCACGGUAGGGUUCAUGACUGGGGUGAAGUCGUAACAAGGUAGCCGUAUCGGAAGGUGCGGCUGGAUCACCUCCUUUAAGAGCGUGCAUCCUAGUUAGGCGUCCACACUUAUCGGUUUGUUUGAUGUUACAGCCAAGGGUCUGUAGCUCAGGUGGUUAGAGCACCGUCUUGAUAAGGCGGGGGUCGUAGGUUCAAGUCCUACCAGACCCACCAAGUUACGGGCGGCGGAGAGCGAUCUUGCCGUGAACUGGGGGAUUAGCUCAGCUGGGAGAGCACCUGCUUUGCAAGCAGGGGGUCGUCGGUUCGAUCCCGUCAUCCUCCACCAACACCUUGUGGUAGCCAAACGCAAGCAUCGAGAGAUCGGUGUUUGCGUUUGGCAUUGCCAAGACGAGUAGUAACUCGGCUGUUCUUUAACAAUAUGGAAUGUAGUAAAGGUGUCGCGGCGCGUUGAUGAGGCGCGCAAUUUAAACGCGACACUGGGUUGUGAUUGUAUCAACCAGUAUUACGAGUGAUCGAAAGACCGCUUGGAAUACGGCACAACGCGAGAACUCAGCCUAUAGCGAGACAUACUCGUUAUAGGGUCAAGCGAAUAAGUGCAUGUGGUGGAUGCCUUGGCGAUCACAGGCGAUGAAGGACGUAGUAGCUUGCGAAAAGCUGCGGGGAGCUGGCAAACGAGCUUUGAUCCGCAGAUGUCCGAAUGGGGAAACCCGGCCCGUAUGGGUCAUCCCUUGCUGAAUACAUAGGCAAGGGAGGCGAACGCAGUGAACUGAAACAUCUAAGUAGCUGCAGGAAAAGAAAUCAACCGAGAUUCCCAAAGUAGUGGCGAGCGAAAUGGGAACAGCCUUGUACUCUUUAGCAGUAUUGUUAGCGGAACGGAAUGGAAAGUCCGGCCAUAGUGGGUGAUAGCCCCGUACGCGAAAACAGUAUUGUGGAACUAGGUGUACGACAAGUAGGGCGGGACACGUGAAAUCCUGUCUGAAGAUGGGGGGACCAUCCUCCAAGGCUAAAUACUCGUGAUCGACCGAUAGUGAACCAGUACCGUGAGGGAAAGGCGAAAAGAACCCCGGGAGGGGAGUGAAAUAGAUCCUGAAACCGCAUGCAUACAAACAGUCGGAGCCUGGAAACGGGUGACGGCGUACCUUUUGUAUAAUGGGUCAGCGACUUACAUUCAGUGGCAAGCUUAACCGAUUAGGGAAGGCGUAGCGAAAGCGAGUCCGAAUAGGGCGUUCAGUCGCUGGGUGUAGACCCGAAACCAAGUGAUCUAUCCAUGGCCAGGUUGAAGGUGCGGUAACACGUACUGGAGGACCGAACCCACUAACGUUGAAAAGUUAGGGGAUGAGCUGUGGAUAGGGGUGAAAGGCUAAACAAACUUGGAAAUAGCUGGUUCUCUCCGAAAACUAUUUAGGUAGUGCCUCGUGUCUCACCUUCGGGGGUAGAGCACUGUCAUGGUUGGGGGGUCUAUUGCUGAUUACCCCGCCAUAGCAAACUCCGAAUACCGAAGAGUGCAAUCACGGGAGACAGACAUCGGGUGCUAACGUCCGGUGUCAAGAGGGAAACAACCCAGACCGCCAGCUAAGGUCCCUAAGAUUGGCUAAGUGGGAAACGAAGUGGGAAGGCUAAAACAGUCAGGAGGUUGGCUUAGAAGCAGCCACCCUUUAAAGAAAGCGUAAUAGCUCACUGAUCGAGUCGUCCUGCGCGGAAGAUGUAACGGGGCUAAGCCAGUCACCGAAGCUGCGGAUGCACGUAAGUGCAUGGUAGGAGAGCGUUCUGUAAGCCUGUGAAGGUGUCUUGUAAAGGAUGCUGGAGGUAUCAGAAGUGCGAAUGCUGACAUGAGUAGCGAUAAAGGGGGUGAAAGGCCCCCUCGCCGUAAGCCCAAGGUUUCCUACGCAACGUUCAUCGGCGUAGGGUGAGUCGGCCCCUAAGGCGAGGCAGAGAUGCGUAGCUGAUGGGAAGCAGGUUAAUAUUCCUGCACCGUCGUAUGAUGCGAUGGGGGGACGGAUCGCGGAAGGUUGUCCGGGUGUUGGAAGUCCCGGUCCCUACAUUGGAGAUGGCACUUAGGCAAAUCCGGGUGCGUGAUUCAAGGGUGUGGGGCGAGCGACGUUAGGUCGCGAAGCAAUUGGAAGUGGUUCCAAGAAAAGCCUCUAAGCUUCAGUCAUACGAGACCGUACCGCAAACCGACACAGGUGGGCGAGAUGAGUAUUCUAAGGCGCUUGAGAGAACUCGGGAGAAGGAACUCGGCAAAUUGGUACCGUAACUUCGGGAUAAGGUACGCCCUUGUAGUUUGACUGGCUCGCGCCAGAAGGAUGAAGGGGUUGCAAUAAAAUGGUGGCUGCGACUGUUUAAUAAAAACACAGCACUCUGCAAACACGAAAGUGGACGUAUAGGGUGUGACGCCUGCCCGGUGCCGGAAGAUUAAAUGAUGGGGUGCAAGCUCUUGAUUGAAGUCCCGGUAAACGGCGGCCGUAACUAUAACGGUCCUAAGGUAGCGAAAUUCCUUGUCGGGUAAGUUCCGACCUGCACGAAUGGCGUAACGAUGGCCACACUGUCUCCUCCCGAGACUCAGCGAAGUUGAAGUGUUUGUGAUGAUGCAAUCUCCCCGCGGCUAGACGGAAAGACCCCAUGAACCUUUACUGUAGCUUUGCAUUGGACUUUGAACCGAUCUGUGUAGGAUAGGUGGGAGGCUUUGAAACCGGGACGCUAGUUUCGGUGGAGCCGACCUUGAAAUACCACCCUGGUUUGUUUGAGGUUCUAACCUUGGCCCGUGAAUCCGGGUCGGGGACAGUGCAUGGUAGGCAGUUUGACUGGGGCGGUCUCCUCCCAAAGUGUAACGGAGGAGUUCGAAGGUACGCUUGGUACGGUCGGACAUCGUACCUAAAGUGCAAUGGCAAAAGCGUGCUUAACUGCGAGACCGACAAGUCGAGCAGGUGCGAAAGCAGGACAUAGUGAUCCGGUGGUUCUGUAUGGAAGGGCCAUCGCUCAACGGAUAAAAGGUACUCUGGGGAUAACAGGCUGAUACCGCCCAAGAGUUCAUAUCGACGGCGGUGUUUGGCACCUCGAUGUCGGCUCAUCUCAUCCUGGGGCUGUAGCCGGUCCCAAGGGUAUGGCUGUUCGCCAUUUAAAGAGGUACGUGAGCUGGGUUUAAAACGUCGUGAGACAGUUUGGUCCCUAUCUGCCGUGGGCGUUGGAAUCUUGACGGGGGCUGCUCCUAGUACGAGAGGACCGGAGUGGACGUACCGCUGGUGUACCUGUUGUCUCGCCAGAGGCAUCGCAGGGUAGCUAUGUACGGAAGAGAUAACCGCUGAAAGCAUCUAAGCGGGAAACUCGCCUGAAGAUGAGGAUUCCCUGGAGACUUGAUCUCCCUGAAGGGUCGUUCGAGACCAGGACGUUGAUAGGCUGGGUGUGGAAGCGCAGUAAUGCGUUCAGCUAACCAGUACUAAUUGCCCGUGCGGCUUGAUCCUAUAACCGGUAUGUUUCCGGCUGGGUCUGCCUUGUGCCUGAUACACACAAAAGCACAACCCCAAACUACAUUCCAUAUUGGCGGCGUUGACCCUGAAGUCAGCGACGCGACAAGUCAUAGCCUGGUGACCAUAGCGAGUCGGUACCACCCCUUCCCAUCCCGAACAGGACCGUGAAACGACUCCGCGCCGAUGAUAGUGCGGAUUCCCGUGUGAAAGUAGGUCAUCGCCAGGCUCUCCAUCAAAACGCCCCAACCCUUACCGGUUGGGGCGUUUUACUUUGGGCGGCCAAACCUCGCAAUCUCUCGACCUCUGCACACAACAAAG
This 5674-nucleotide ribosomal RNA is filed under the name Ralstonia pseudosolanacearum GMI1000. The record is from RNAcentral. Lineage: Bacteria; Pseudomonadati; Pseudomonadota; Betaproteobacteria; Burkholderiales; Burkholderiaceae.